This 253-nucleotide ribosomal RNA is filed under the name uncultured bacterium. RNAcentral's name for it is "partial 16S ribosomal RNA". It matches the Rfam family "Bacterial small subunit ribosomal RNA", at positions 524 to 776 of the family's 1533-position model. The record is from RNAcentral.
UACAGAGGGGGCGAGCGUUGUUCGGAAUUACUGGGCGUAAAGGGCGCGUAGGCGGCCUUCUAAGUCGAACGUGAAAUCCCCGGGCUCAACCCGGGAACUGCGUCCGAUACUGGGAGGCUUGAAUUCGGGAGAGGAUGGUGGAAUCCCCAGUGUAGAGGUGAAAUUCGUAGAUAUUGGGAAGAACACCGAUGGCGAAGGCAGCCAUCUGGACCGACACUGACGCUGAGGCGCGAAGGCCAGGGGAGCAAACGGG